AAUACCCGCUGAACUUAAGCAUAUCAAAAAGCCCAAAGCUC
Molecule: ribosomal RNA, 41 nt
Filed under: Pyricularia oryzae
Lineage: Eukaryota; Fungi; Ascomycota; Sordariomycetes; Magnaporthales; Pyriculariaceae
Description: partial 28S ribosomal RNA
Source: RNAcentral